UACGUAGGCAGCGAGCGUUGUUCGGAGUUACUGGGCGUAAAGGGUGUGUAGGCGGUUGUUUAAGUUUGGUGCGAAAUCUCCCGGCUCAACUGGGAGGGUGCGCCGAAUACUGAAUGACUUGGAGUGCGGGAGAGGAGAGUGGAAUUCCUGGUGUAGCGGUGAAAUGCGUAGAUAUCAGGAGGAACACCGGUGGUGUAGACGGCUCUCUGGACCGUAACUGACGCUGAGACACGAAAGCGUGGGUAGCAAACAGG
RNAcentral lists this ribosomal RNA (254 nucleotides) under uncultured bacterium. RNAcentral's name for it is "partial 16S ribosomal RNA". It matches the Rfam family "Bacterial small subunit ribosomal RNA", at positions 524 to 776 of the family's 1533-position model. The record is from RNAcentral.